AUUAAACAUUUACCAUUAAACAUUUACUAGCGUGCCUCUGAUUCUAACUCCUGUGAAUCUGGAGUUAGUCAUGCUGGAAUGGAGAGAGACUUAGGGCAAGAAGAACAAUUAGAAGGCAAUUUCAAUUGUCUCGGUGAGAGGAGGUGAGGGCCUGUGCAGUGGUGGUGUCUGUGCGAGUACAAAGAAGGCAAUGGGGUUAAGUGACUUGCCCAGGGUCACACAACUAUACAUAGCAUAGGGGGCAGGACUGCUCCUCACCUUGGAACACUACUCUCCUAGUCAGACAGCCCUGUAUGUGUGACCCGGAACUUGGUGGGAAGAAGAAGAAGGCCAAAAGAAAUCACAAAUGGGAC
Molecule: non-coding RNA, 353 nt
Organism: Phascolarctos cinereus (koala)
Lineage: Eukaryota; Metazoa; Chordata; Mammalia; Diprotodontia; Phascolarctidae
Source: RefSeq, a predicted model, not a curated record